GGAAUAUUGCACAAUGGGGGAAACCCUGAUGCAGCGACGCCGCGUGAGUGAAGAAGUAUCUCGGUACGUAAAGCUCUAUCAGCAGGGAAAAUAAUGACGGUACCUGACCAAGAAGCCCCGGCUAACUACGUGCCAGCAGCAGCGGUAAUACGUAGGGGGCAAGCGUUAUCCGGAUUUACUGGGUGUGAAGGGAGCGUAGACGGCAGCACAAGUCUGGAGUGAAAUCCCGGGGCUUAACCCCGGAACUGCUUUGGAAACUGGGCGGCUGGAGUGCAGGAGGGGUAAGCGGAAUUCCUAGUGUAGCGGUGAAAUGCGUAGAUAUUAGGAGGAACACCGGUGGCGAAGGCGGCUUACUGGACUGUAACUGACGUUGAGGCUCGAAAGCGUGGGGAGCAAAC
RNAcentral lists this ribosomal RNA (398 nucleotides) under uncultured bacterium. RNAcentral describes it as "bacterial SSU rRNA". It matches the Rfam family "Bacterial small subunit ribosomal RNA", at positions 358 to 773 of the family's 1533-position model. The record is from RNAcentral.